This 1679-nucleotide long non-coding RNA is filed under the name Homo sapiens (human). RNAcentral's name for it is "HSALNT0117321". The record is from RNAcentral. Lineage: Eukaryota; Metazoa; Chordata; Mammalia; Primates; Hominidae.
GCAGUAACAACCCUGAACAGACAGUAAAACCCCAGAACAGAGAGGAACAACCCCAAACAGGCCGUAACAACCCCAAACAGAGGGGAACAACCCCGAACAGGCAGGAAAAACCCCAAACAGGCAGUAACAACCCCGAACAGAGAGUAACAACCCCAAAGAGAGAGGAACAACCCCGAAGAGAGAGUAACAACACAGAACAGAGAGGAACAACCCCGAACAGGCAGGAACAACCCCGAACAGGCAGGAACAACCCCAAACAGAGAGUAACAACCCCGAACAGAGAGGAACAACCCCGAACAGGCAGUAACAACACCGAACAGAGAGGAACAACCCCAAACAGAGAGGAACAACCCCAAACAGAGAGGAACAACCCCGAACAGAGAGGAACAACACCGAACAGAGAGGAACAACACCGAACAGAGAGGCACAACCCCGAACAGAGAGGAACAACCCCGAACAGAGAGGAACAACCCCGAACAGAGAGGAACAACACCGAACAGAGAGGAACAACACCGAACAGAGAGGCACAACCCCGAACAGAGAGGAACAACCCCGAGCAGGAAGUAACAACCCCGAAGAGAGAGGAACAACCCCGAACAGGCAGGAGCAACCCCAAACACAGAGUAACAACCCCGAACAGGCAGUAACAACCCCGAACAGAGAGGAACAACCCCGAACAGGCAGUAACAACCCCGAACAGAAAGGAACAACCCCGAAAAGAGAGGAACAACACUGAACAGAGAGGAACAACCCCGAACAGGCAGGAACAAUCCCGAACAGGCAGGAACAAUCCCGAACAGUCAGGAACAACCCCAAACAGAGAGGAACAACCCCGAACAGGCAGUAACAACCCCGAACAGAGAGUAACAACCCCGAACAGAGAGGAACAACCCCGGACAGAGAGGAACAACACCGAACAGAGAGGAACAACCCCGAACAGACAGUAACAACACCGAACAGGCAGGAACAACCCCGAACAGGCAGUAACAACCCCGAACAGAGAGUAACAACCCCGAACAGAGAGGAACAACCCCAAAUAGUCAGUAACAAUCCCGAACAGGCAGUAACAACUCCGAACAGAGAGUAACAACCCCGAACAGAAAGUAACAACCCCGAACAGAGAGUAACAACCCCGAACAGGCAGUAACAAUCCGGAACAGAGAGUAACAACCUGGAACAGGCAGUAACAACUCGGAACAGGCAGUAACAGCCCUGAACAGGCAGUAACAACCCGGAACAGAGAGUAACAACCCUGAGCAGGCAGUAACAACCCGGAACAGGCAGUAACAACCCCAGCUAAACCAAUAGAACCGGCCUGGCAGCCACUCCUGUUCCAGUGCAGCACUCCACCAUGCAGAGGGGUCGGAGAAGCAGUUGUAGGUCACAGCAAGGAGUGGGCCGUGGGGAUCAUGGCCAGGUCGUGAAAUCCAAGUGGCACCCGCCAUGGCACCAGCCAGAACAGGUCCCCUCCUUUCCAAAGGGCAGAGCUGGGGCUGGCCCUGGAGAUGCUGGGGUCAGCAAGGGCUGGGGCUGCGCUCCCUCCUGGGUCUGUGUCAAAAGCAGCCAGCACCGAAGCCUGUCCACAUCGGCCAGGCCCUGUGCAAGCCGCGCUUCCCAGCAGACGGCACGGAAUUGCUGGUGAGAGUGGACGCUGGGCCGGAACAGAGCGGCGCUUCCUG